AGAGUUUGAUCAUGGCUCAGGACGAACGCUGGCGGCGUGCUUAACACAUGCAAGUCGAGCGGAAAGGCCCUUCGGGGUACUCGAGCGGCGAACGGGUGAGUAACACGUGAGCAACCUGCCCUUAGCUCUGGGAUAGCUCCGGGAAACCGGGAUUAAUACCGGAUAUGACCACUUCGGACAUCUGUUGUGGUGGAAAGUUUUUCGGCUGGGGAUGAGCUCGCGGCCUAUCAGCUUGUUGGUGGGGUAAUGGCCUACCAAGGCGACGACGGGUAGCCGGCCUGAGAGGGCGACCGGCCACACUGGGACUGAGACACGGCCCAGACUCCUACGGGAGGCAGCAGUGGGGAAUAUUGCGCAAUGGGCGGAAGCCUGACGCAGCGACGCCGCGUGGGGGAUGAAGGCCUUCGGGUUGUAAACCUCUUUCAGCAGGGACGAAGCGGAAGUGACGGUACCUGCAGAAGAAGCGCCGGCUAACUACGUGCCAGCAGCCGCGGUAACACGUAGGGCGCAAGCGUUGUCCGGAAUUAUUGGGCGUAAAGAGCUCGUAGGCGGUCUGUUGCGUCCGCUGUGAAAUCUCGGGGCUUAACCCCGGGCCUGCAGUGGAUACGGGCAGACUAGAGGUAGGUA
RNAcentral lists this ribosomal RNA (627 nucleotides) under uncultured bacterium. RNAcentral describes it as "bacterial SSU rRNA". It matches the Rfam family "Bacterial small subunit ribosomal RNA", at positions 8 to 653 of the family's 1533-position model. The record is from RNAcentral.